GGGGAAGCUCUGCUGAUCUCAAUUAAUUCAGGGCAGGCUGAUAGAGCAGCUACCAUCUCGAAUAGCUCCAGCAGCCAUGCCAGUGAGGGAGAAAGAUCGCUGGAGGGUUGCGGGCUAAUGGCUGUCUACCGGAAGUGGCGAACAUCACUUCCGCUCACAGCUCGCUGGUCAGAAAGACUUAGCAGGUUGCGCUCAAUCGCAAGAGACCAGGAAAAGUAUUCCAACCGUGUAUGCAAUAGAGGGAAGAACCAUAAAUCUGUGCCGGUCAGCGGCAAUGACCAUCACUUUCUGAACAAGUGUGACCUGAUGAUGCAGUCACCAGUCUUGUCUCAGGCAGAGGACUGGAACUAACACAAGUGAGGCCAGAAGUGGACUGAGAACACAGGCAAUAAGAUGGGGACUUGAGACUGGCUCAUCGACUGUGCAGAGGAUGAAGGAAAUACCCUCCUGGUUGGCAAGUAAGCAGGGAUAGUCUCCGUCACAAGCUGAAAAAAAACUUUAAUGAAAGGAAGGGGAGCAGAAACUCAUCGCCAGGCUUGAAAGUAAAGCUUCAACCACCUCCUACUCCUGUGUGUCUCGGCUCAAGACCCAGAUUCCCAGAAGAGCGAGCUAGGAUUGACCAACGAGAGUCAGGCACCCAGCCCUACAGCCAGGGGGUGAAGUUUGGUGAUUGACAGCCCCAUCAGAGCCAUGUAACACAGGCAAGGGGUAGUUCCCCAGAGGAAGUGACACCCAGCAAACAGACACACCGACGACAAGUAUAACCACUCUCACAGAACCAGGACUCCUUCUAAGAACAUAGAACCUUGCUGGAGGGGAGGUCCUCAUCUAAGACAGGCACAGAUGGCUCAAAUCACAGUGACAAUGUUACGCUCAGUCAAGAGUAUGAAGAGUCUCAGACCCUCCUUGAAAUUCAAGGCCAGCGCUGGAUAAGGACCUUCAAGGUAUUUAAGCAGCUUCCCAAGGUGCAGCGCCCAGAAGAAAAUGCUCACUGGAUUUAUGGGGCACAUUAUUGAUAAACCCAGCGACCAUGUGUCAUAAUUCAGUAUGCAGGCGGAGAAGCAAAUGGCACUAGAGGUUUUGUAUUAAAUAGACAGACCCUGAGCCUGAUUUAUGUAUCGAGUGCCAGUUGCUCCCAGGGGCACCCAGGACAAUAGGUCUGAAACUACUUCUGUCUUUGCUUCUUGACUCCUUCCUCUGUGUCUGAAAUGAUUCACUAGGCAGUAUGACCUUUGCAAUGUCGUCAUUGCUUGUUACAUCUGCCCUAGGAGGUGGACUUUGAGAUUUACCAGGAAUGAAACCACAUCCAUGACUAUUGCCUUUGAAAUGGGACAGUCCCUGCUGGACACUGUUAAAAUACUUCAGAAGGUAGCAUUUCCCCUGUUUUUCCACAAGGGCUGCUUUCAAGAUAUAACCACCUGUUUAUGUAUGUGUUUAUGCUUCUAACACUUAUUGAAGACCAUUAAGAAACAGACUCUCUGCUCUGCAUUAUGGUUACAAAAAUAUGUAAGAUGUAGCUCCACUCUCAACUUUCU
Molecule: long non-coding RNA, 1535 nt
Filed under: Equus caballus (horse)
Lineage: Eukaryota; Metazoa; Chordata; Mammalia; Perissodactyla; Equidae
Description: lncRNA (ENSECAG00000050111.1)
Source: RNAcentral